AUGAAAAGAGUGGGAACCAACACCGCUGCCGUGAAGGCGACCGCCGGCGCCGGUGACCGAGGAGAGCAGCACAAGGCGACGUCCAAGACACAGGCGCAGAAGGUGGCCCGGCAGCAGGCUCUGCUUGCGUUCCUCAAGGCGGGGUUCGAGGAUUACAAGCUGUACAGGGACAGGGAGGACGAGGAGGAGGUGGAGGAGUACCGUCGCGCGGGUAAGCUCCACACGUACGACCCGGACAAGGAGCCCAAGAAGCGCUUGGCCAGGGUCGCCAAACUCCACCCGCCGCUCGAGCACAUGGCCGAGAAGAUCAAAUUGUACACAUAUUACCUCGAGGAAGACGAGGAUGACUUCAGGAUAGGACUUUAUUCAUUAAUCGGGGAUGAAGUCAGAGGUUGA
RNAcentral lists this ribosomal RNA (396 nucleotides) under Triticum aestivum (bread wheat). Its description in RNAcentral is "partial small subunit ribosomal RNA". The record is from RNAcentral. Lineage: Eukaryota; Viridiplantae; Streptophyta; Magnoliopsida; Poales; Poaceae.